Molecule: unclassified non-coding RNA, 253 nt
Filed under: uncultured Phycisphaeraceae bacterium
Lineage: Bacteria; Pseudomonadati; Planctomycetota; Phycisphaerae; Phycisphaerales; Phycisphaeraceae
Description: contains 16S-23S intergenic spacer region
Rfam family: Bacterial small subunit ribosomal RNA
Source: RNAcentral
UACAGAGGCCUCGAGCGUUGCGCGGAAUCACUGGGCUUAAAGGGUGCGCAGGCGGAAACGUAAGUGUUUUGUGAAAGCCCACGGCUCAACCGUGGAACAGCAGGGCAUACUGCGUUUCUUGAGGCUGGUAGGGGCUGCCGGAACUGUAGGUGUAGCGGUGAAAUGCGUAGAUAUCUACAGGAACGCCGAUGGUGAAGACGGGCAGCUGGGCCAGUUCUGACGCUCAUGCACGAAAGCGUGGGGAUCAAACAGG